RNAcentral lists this ribosomal RNA (237 nucleotides) under uncultured Staphylococcus sp. Its description in RNAcentral is "partial 16S ribosomal RNA". It matches the Rfam family "Bacterial small subunit ribosomal RNA", at positions 103 to 334 of the family's 1533-position model. Lineage: Bacteria; Bacillati; Bacillota; Bacilli; Caryophanales; Staphylococcaceae. The record is from RNAcentral.
CGGGUGAGUAACACGUGGAUAACCUACCUAUAAGACUGGGAUAACUUCGGGAAACCGGAGCUAAUACAGGAUAAUAUAUUGAACCGCAUGGUUCAAUAGUGAAAGACGGUUUUGCUGUCACUUAUAGAUGGAUCCGCGCCGCAUUAGCUAGUUGGUAAGGUAACGGCUUACCAAGGCAACGAUGCGUAGCCGACCUGAGAGGGUGAUCGGCCACACUGGAACUGAGACACGGUCCAG